GUCGAAGAGAGAAUGAAUCGGCCCAACUGGUACUGAGAACGCAUCUAGUCUACGGAGGCAGCAAGUGAGGAAUAUUGCACAAUUGGGCAAUCCCUGAAUGCAGCUCGCCGCGUGAAGAAUGACGCAUUCGGUUGGGAAAACUCCUUUUAUAAUGUCAAAGAAAUGACGUAAGCAUAUGAAUAAGCACCGGCUACUCCGUGCAGCAGCCGCGGUAAUAACGGAGGGUGCAAGCGUUAUUCGGAAUCACUGGGCGUAAAGGAACGCGUAGGCCGGGUUGUAAGUCAGGUGUGAAAUCCUACAGCUUAACUGUAGAACUGCACUUGAAACUACUGACCUAGAGUAUGGGAGGGGGAGAUGGAAAUUAGUGGUGUAGGGGUAAAAUCCGUAGAUAUCACUAGGAAUACCGAAAGCGAAGGCGAUCUCCUGGAACAUUACUGACGCUAAGGCGUGAAAGCGUGGGGAGCAAACAGGAUUAGAUACCCUGGUAGUCCACGCCCUAAACGAUGAACACUAGUCGUCGGGGAGCUAGUCUCUUCGGUGACGCACUUAACAGAUUAAGUGUUCCGCCUGGGGAGUACGGUCGCAAGAUUAAAACUCAAAGGAAUAGACGGGGACCCGCACAAGUGGUGGAGCAUGUGGUUUAAUUCGAAGAUACGCGAAGAACCUUACCUAGCCUUGACAUUGAAAGAACACCCUAGAGAUAGAGUGGUGCCCUUCGGGGAGCUUGAAAACAGGUGCUGCACGGCUGUCGUCAGCUCGUGUCGUGAGAUGUUGGGUUAAGUCCCGCAACGAGCGCAACCCUCGUCCUUAGUUGCCAGCAGUUCGGCUGGGCACUCUAAGGAGACUGCCUUCGCAAGGAGGAGGAAGGUGAGGACGACGUCAAGUCAUCAUGGCCCUUAUGGCUAGGGCUACACACGUGCUACAAUGGGGCGUACAGAGAGUUGCGAUACCGCGAGGUGGAGCCAAUCUCAUAAAGCGUCUCUCAGUUCGGAUUGGAGUCUGCAACUCGACUCCAUGAAGCUGGAAUCACUAGUAAUCGUAGAUCAGCAAUGCUACGGUGAAUACGUUCCCGGGUCUUGUACUCACCGCCCGUCACACCAUGGGAGUUGAUUUCACCCGAAAUUGGGAAGCUAACCUUCGGGAGGCUACCACUUACGGUGGAAUUAGCGACUGGGGUGAAGUCGUAACAAGGU
Molecule: ribosomal RNA, 1193 nt
Filed under: uncultured bacterium
Lineage: Bacteria
Description: bacterial SSU rRNA
Rfam family: Bacterial small subunit ribosomal RNA
Source: RNAcentral